GCGGCGUGCUUAACACAUGCAAGUCGAACGAUGAAAGAGAAUCCGAUCUCUUCGGAGUGAAGAAUCUCUGGAUUAGUGGCGGACGGGUGAGUAACGCGUGAGCAAUCUGCCUUACACAAAGGGAUAGCCUCGGGAAACCGGGAUUAAUACCAUAUGAUAUCUAUUAACCGCAUGGUAGAUAGAUUAAAGAAUUUCGGUGUAAGAUGAGCUCGCGUCCCAUUAAUUAGUUGGUGAGGGUAACGGCCCACCAAGAUAGCGAUGGGUAGCCGAUCUAAGAGGAUGACCGGCCACAUUGGAACUGAGAAACGGUCCAAACUCCUACGGGAGGCAGCAGUGGGGAAUAUUGCACAAUGGGGGAAACCCUGAUGCAGCGACGCCGCGUGAGCGAUGAAGGCUUUCGAGUCGUAAAGCUCUGUCCUAUGGGAAGAUAAUGACGGUACCAUAGAAGAAAGCCCCGGCUAAUUACGUGCCAGCAGCCGCGGUAA
This 485-nucleotide ribosomal RNA is filed under the name uncultured Eubacteriales bacterium. Its description in RNAcentral is "bacterial SSU rRNA". It matches the Rfam family "Bacterial small subunit ribosomal RNA", at positions 39 to 523 of the family's 1533-position model. Lineage: Bacteria; Bacillati; Bacillota; Clostridia; Eubacteriales. The record is from RNAcentral.